This 506-nucleotide ribosomal RNA is filed under the name uncultured bacterium. RNAcentral's name for it is "bacterial SSU rRNA". It matches the Rfam family "Bacterial small subunit ribosomal RNA", at positions 501 to 1009 of the family's 1533-position model. The record is from RNAcentral.
CUACGUGCCAGCAGCCGCGGUAAUACGGAAGGUCCGGGCGUUAUCCGGAUUUAUUGGGUUUAAAGGGAGCGUAGGCCGCCCCUUAAGCGUGUUGUGAAAUGCGGGUGCUCAACAUCCGACUUGCAGCGCGAACUGGGGGGCUUGAGUGCGCCGAAAGUAGGCGGAAUUCGUGGUGUAGCGGUGAAAUGCUUAGAUAUCACGAAGAACUCCGAUUGCGAAGGCAGCUUACUGUAGCGCAACUGACGCUGAUGCUCGAAAGCGUGGGUAUCGAACAGGAUUAGAUACCCUGGUAGUCCACGCGGUAAACGAUGGAUGCUCGUUGUCGGCCUUUGUGGUCGGUGACCAAGCGAAAGCGUUAAGCAUCCCACCUGGGGAGUACGCCGGCAACGGUGAAACUCAAAGGAAUUGACGGGGGCCCGCACAAGCGGAGGAACAUGUGGUUUAAUUCGAUGAUACGCGAGGAACCUUACCCGGGCUUGAAUUGCAGACGCAGGAUACAGAGAUGU